CAGUUCCUGUUGCAAAUGCGUUGGACGACAGUAAGGUUAACGUUAAUCCAACGACUAGGUGAGAAAAUGCGCGAUGCACCGAGCGCGCGGGUUUAUGUAGGCUGGUGCGAGCUGCCUUUCAUAUAUGAUUCACUCUCCCACCACGGCUCCACAGCCUGUGGUUUUCUUAGAAGAAAAAAAAGACAUACUUAUCCUUUUCACUUAUUUCACUCUUAGUCAGUGGGAAAAAUGAGAGCAGUCGGGGUUAAAAUGAGCUUUCUCUGUCACGAGUGUUUUAGAUAUUCGAAAGUGACUACAGAUGCGCACACACGAACACAAUUCUUUUCCCUCUGUAACGCUGUACAGAGACGACACCAGAUCGGUGCAAGAAAUGGGUUUCCUUAAGAAGAGAUGAUGGGAGGAAAUGAAGAUGGAGGAGCCGGUUAGCCCCCCCCGUCCCACUCGCCCACCCCGGUGAGAUCAUGGCGGGGUGGUCAUGAGGAAGGAGACCCUCGCCGAGGGGGACAAAAUGGAGGGUGGUGCCCCCUGAAACCACUGCCUGCCCCCCCCCCUCCCUCAUUCAGAGACUGAAAGACUACAAGGACCAGAAGGGAUAUUCCAUAUUCGAUAAAAAGGUUGGUUGCAGAGGCCGGCUCAAGGACGACCCAAAAACAAGCCACGCUUCCUGACCACAGAACACGCGUCACCGUGAACGUUAAACAGAAUCGGAAUGUCUGGUGCUGCUGGGCGGCUCAUCCUUUUAACCCUUUACGGCAGAGGUGGGCAAUGAGGGCCCUGUCUGUAUCUGGUUUUCAUGCCAACUUCUGGUGUGAUUGGAAUGUUCUUAACUGAACAUUCUAUUGCUGAUGUAACAUGCAAAACUGGUUCUAGAACACUGACAUAGAAUUAAAAAAAAAAAAACAUUACAAAAGAACUAUUUUUCAAAGGGUUAAGGCGCUGUUGUGUUAUGUUCCAGUGCAUGGGUGGGCUGCACACUGUGGUAUUGGAUCCAGACUGUGCCAGCGCUUACCUUGGCUGGCAGCGCUGCAAGGUGGCACAUCGUUGGCACAUCGUUGGCGCUAGCAUUGCUCGGGGAGGGAGGGCUUCAGCAGGCCAGGAUAGAAUGCAUCUUUAAAAAAAUACCGGAGUAGGAAGUGGUUUUAAUCUUAAUAAGUGCUAUUUCUGAAGAUGUUGUUUCAAAAUAUGAGUAUCUCGUGAGUCUUUCAACAAUAACCUGUAUGAUAACAUUGGAUGGGGACUUCAUUGCAAUCAUUCAUUACAUUACAAUUAUUGUUUUUGUCCUUCUAUGUAGUGGUUUUUUAAUCACAUCUCUUAAUAGUUCAGAAAUAAAAGAAAAAAAGUUUA
Anguilla anguilla (European eel) is the source of this 1344-nucleotide long non-coding RNA. RefSeq lists it as uncharacterized. NCBI's taxonomy places the organism in Eukaryota, Metazoa, Chordata, Actinopteri, Anguilliformes, Anguillidae. The transcript has 4 exons. The record is from RefSeq and is a predicted model, not a curated record.